ACCUGAUCAGCAGUGGGACCUGCACUCUUCUGUGGCUGUCUGCUGGUAUCUGAUAGAGCUGUCCAAAAGUGCUUAUUUGGCACUCUGUAUAAACUAGGCAACGAGGGAUAUCCCAGGAGGGCUCCAUACUGCAAGGGGCUGUUGUCCUAUCAGGGGAGCCUCUGUCCCCUCAAACUGGUACAGCUGUCAGUGAUCCUUGCCUGCGGGUAGACAGCCAGCUCAGCUACAGCUGUAAGUGUAUGAGGCUGCAGAUACGUACAAACAGAGGGUGCUGAAUUCCAGAUCAAUGUGUGCCACAAGGAAAAGUGAGAAAAUAAGUCACAAAGGCACAGUGAGCAACAGUGAUAAUGGGCAGAUAAAGAUGAAAUGUUGGCAGAGGUCUGACUCCUGCAGAGAGGAAAGAACACAUACUAUUGAUGCCUGGCCAAGGGCCACCUAUGGGACUGUGAACUGGAGAGCCUCCUCAUCUGUCCAGCUCUGCAUUUCUGGAGAGUAACGUGGGGAAGAAGGGCUCCAGACUACAGGAAGGAAUACUACAACAAGAUGCCAUUUUUACUGUGCCCCCCCUUCCCCUGUAAUACUAGAGAGGACAGGAGCAGGAGUAUGAUACAGGAUACUGGCAUUUGAGAUAUCAGCGUUCAGAAGACCGACACCAGCAUUCCAAUGCUCAGCAUCAUGACAGGG
This is a long non-coding RNA of Pseudophryne corroboree (corroboree frog), 684 nucleotides long. RefSeq lists it as uncharacterized. The transcript is spliced from 3 exons. The record is from RefSeq and is a predicted model, not a curated record. Lineage: Eukaryota; Metazoa; Chordata; Amphibia; Anura; Myobatrachidae.